Molecule: RNA transcript, 1862 nt
Organism: Eucalyptus grandis
Lineage: Eukaryota; Viridiplantae; Streptophyta; Magnoliopsida; Myrtales; Myrtaceae
Gene name: enoyl-CoA delta isomerase 3-like
Exons: 6
Source: RefSeq, a predicted model, not a curated record
UCGAAUUUUUCAAUAACGUUACCAGGCCAGCUUCUGUCGUAAGAUUCAAGAGAGAGCUUGCUUGACUGAUUCAAGUCAUGACUUAAGGACUGUAGGCAACAGAAUCUAACAUUAUAGUGCAGAGUUUGUUCGAGUUUGUUGACACGGACAACACACGACAAAUUCUGAACUCUGAACAUUUCUUUGAGGACUUGCUAUCUCCAACCUACAGCUUUGGUAUUAUCCGAUGGAACUACAAGAUCGUACCUGGAAUCCAUUGGCAUCCACAGAGAUAAACAAAGAAGACCGGUUCUGUGAGUUAGGCAUGGGUGGAGGCGGUGUCUUUGUCCUGAGUUUUGUUGGAGAAUCCCAUCACAGGUUCUCUCCAGCAGCAAUAUGUUUGAUCAAUGAGCUCCUUGACUCGGUAUGUCUUCUACUUAAAUAUGUGGUACGAGUCCAUCACAAAAGAAAUAUGAAGUAGAGAUGCGAUAUCAAUCUGUUUCUUUUUCUCCCUUUCUAGCAGCAUCUUUGCCAAAGUAUGCUGAAAGUGACUGCUGAAGUUGUAAUUACACAAUAUGCCCACUCUGAAGUAAUUGCAGAGAUGAACUAGGACUAUCUCAAUUGUCAUGAUAUCUCAGACAGAAUCAUAGUGCAUAUAUUCCAUAAAUUUCUCCCUCACGACCCCCCUCCUCCUGUGUCUAUCAUGGAAUAGUUAUCAGGGUGCAAUAUGCCCGAUCAAACAACUCACCGUAACUCCUGUUUGACUCCAGUCUCAAGGGACGAAAAGGCACGUUUGUUGAUCACUACAAAUCAGGUAAUGCACUCUGGUGCACAUAGCGGUUAUUAGCAUAUAUUCAUGGAAGAUAAUUAUCAGAGAGAACACAAAAGUUACUUGCGUCAUCCUUGAUUUUGUGCGAAUGAAGGGUAAGUUCUUCUCAGAUGGGAUGGAUGUAAACUACUUAGGAUGCACAGACAGAGAAAGGCCCGUUGAGCCUGUUUUUUGAGCAGGAGUAUCUGAUGUCAUUUCAGAAGCUUGUGAGCAAGUUGUUGACAUUCCAUCUUCCAACUAUUGCUGUUAUAAGAGGUCAUGCAGUUGGAGUGGGCUGUAUCUUUGCACUGGCUCAUGAUUACAGGCUUAUGAGCUCUGAUCAUGGUUACGUAUUCAUGAAUGAGGUAAAUCUGGUCCCUGUAGGAGAGUCUUGGAUUUUCAACUGUUAAUGAAGUGCACUGGAGAAGAUCUUCAGAAAUGCCAGUCUUGAACUUUCUACUAGUGAGCUUUCCAUUUUUAGUUUAGUGCAUAGGCUAUUAUGUCGAAUCAAAACUAAAAAAGUUCUGUCACACAACUUAUGUGUUCAAUACUUCAUAACAGAUUAAUUUAGGAAUGUCAUUGACACCCGGAAUUAUGUCCGUUCUUCGCACAAAGUUGCCCAUAUCAACUUUCCAGGAAGUAGUACUUACAGUACCUGUAACUUCCAUUCAUGCUUUAGUGUGAUUCUUUCGACAAAACUCAUGGUGAAGGCCAAUUUGUGGAAGAUGGAUUAAAUGGUAUAGCUACAAAUCCAAUCUUUUCACAGGAAACGCUAUGACGGGAAAGGCGCCGCAGCAGCUGUUAUAGUUCAAGCAACAUGUCCUAGAGGAACAACUCUUUGGCAAGAAGUCAUAAAUAAAGCCUCGGAGUACAGAGCUAGAAGAUGGAACAGAGAGAUCUAUCACGCGCUGAAGAUGGAGAUGUUCAAGAUCACUACGCAACAGCUUGAAAAUGGAGGGAUUGGAUACGCAAAAUGUGAAUCACUCCUCUCUGUCACUUUUUGGGAAAGGGGUGAAAGAAAUCGCGAGGUCUAUUUUGUAUCCAUCAUUGAGUAAUGACUACACCUUUUCAUCUA